This is a non-coding RNA of Leptonychotes weddellii (Weddell seal), 477 nucleotides long. NCBI's taxonomy places the organism in Eukaryota, Metazoa, Chordata, Mammalia, Carnivora, Phocidae. The record is from the annotation of a RefSeq genome assembly.
AUGGAGUUCUUGCUUGGCUGGGUUUUCCUUGUUGCUCUUUUAAAAGGUGUCCAGUGUGAGGUGCAGCUGGUGGAGUCUGGGGGAGACCUGGUGAAGCCUGGUGGGUCCCUGAGACUCUCCUGUGCUGCCUCUGGAUUCACUUUCAGCAGCUACUACAUGUACUGGGUCCGCCAGGCUCCAGGAAAGGGGCUGCAGUGGGUCGCAGUUAUUAGUAGUGAUGGAAGUAACACAGGCUACGCGGACUCUGUGAAGGGCCGAUUCACCAUCUCCAGAGACAAUGGCAAGAACACGCUGUAUCUGCAGAUGAAUAGCCUGAGAGACGAGGACACAGCCAUCUAUUACUGUGCAAAGGACGCAGUGAGGGGAUGUCAGUGUGAGCCCAGACACAAACCUUACUGUAGAAGGGGAUCUGGUCACCAGGAGGUGCACACUGCUCACCAAUUCUGUCUUGAAACCCCAGGAGCAGAUGCAGCUUGA